Molecule: ribosomal RNA, 1398 nt
Filed under: metagenome
Description: bacterial LSU rRNA
Rfam family: Bacterial large subunit ribosomal RNA
Source: RNAcentral
AAAAAUCCGGGGUUUCAAGGCCGAGAGCUGAUGACGAGUCGUCUUUUAGAUGACGAAGUGGUUGAUGCCAUGCUUCCAAGAAAAGCUUCUAAGCUUCAGGUAACCAGGAACCGUACCCCAAACCGACACAGGUGGUCGGGUAGAGAAUACCAAGGCGCUUGAGGGAACUCGGGUGAAGGAACUAGGCAAAAUGGCACCGUAACUUCGGGAGAAGGUGCGCCGGCUAGGGUGAAGGAUUUACUCCGUAAGCUCUGGCUGGUCGAAGAUACCAGGCCGCUGCGACUGUUUAUUAAAAACACAGCACUCUGCAAACACGAAAGUGGACGUAUAGGGUGUGACGCCUGCCCGGUGCCGGAAGGUUAAUUGAUGGGGUUAGCGCAAGCGAAGCUCUUGAUCGAAGCCCCGGGUAAACGGCGGCCGUAACGAUAACGGUCCUAAGGUAGCGAAAUUCCUUGUCGGGUAAGUUCCGACCUGCACGAAUGGCGUAACGAUGGCGGCGCUGUCUCCACCCGAGACUCAGUGAAAUUGAAAUCGCUGUGAAGAUGCAGUGUAUCCGCGGCUAGACGGAAAGACCCCGUGAACCUUUACUGUAGCUUUGCACUGGACUUUGAGCCUGCUUGUGUAGGAUAGGUGGGAGGCUUUGAAGCGUGGACGCCAGUUCGCGUGGAGCCAUCCUUGAAAUACCACCCUGGCAUGCUUGAGGUUCUAACUCUGGUCCGUAAUCCGGAUCGAGGACAGUGUAUGGUGGGCAGUUUGACUGGGGCGGUCUCCUCCUAAAGAGUAACGGAGGAGUACGAAGGUGCGCUCAGACCGGUCGGAAAUCGGUCGCAGAGUAUAAAGGCAAAAGCGCGCUUGACUGCGAGACAGACACGUCGAGCAGGUACGAAAGUAGGUCUUAGUGAUCCGGUGGUUCUGUAUGGAAGGGCCAUCGCUCAACGGAUAAAAGGUACUCCGGGAUAACAGGCUGAUACCGCCCAAGAGUUCAUAUCGACGGCGGUGUUUGGCACCUCGAUGUCGGCUCAUCACAUCCUGGGGCUGUAGCCGGUCCCAAGGGUAUGGCUGUUCGCCAUUUAAAGUGGUACGCGAGCUGGGUUUAGAACGUCGUGAGACAGUUCGGUCCCUAUCUGCCGUGGACGUUUGAGAUUUGAGAGGGGCUGCUCCUAGUACGAGAGGACCGGAGUGGACGAACCUCUGGUGUUCCGGUUGUCACGCCAGUGGCAUUGCCGGGUAGCUAUGUUCGGAAAAGAUAACCGCUGAAAGCAUCUAAGCGGGAAACUUGCCUCAAGAUGAGAUCUCACUGGGAACUUGAUUCCCCUGAAGGGCCGUCGAAGACUACGACGUUGAUAGGCUGGGUGUGUAGGCGUUGUGAGGCGUUGAGCUAACCAGUACUAAUUGCCC